GCGGAGGAAAAGAAACUAACAAGGAUUCCCCUAGUAACUGCGAGUGAAGCGGGAAAAGCUCAAAUUUAAAAUCUGGCAGUCUUUGAUUGUCCGAGUUGUAAUCUAGAGAAGUGUUAUCCGCGUUGGACCGUGUACAAGUCUCCUGGAAUGGAGCGUCAUAGAGGGUGAGAAUCCCGUCUUUGACACGGACUACCAAGGCUUUGUGAUGCGCUCUCAAAGAGUCGAGUUGUUUGGGAAUGCAGCUCAAAAUGGGUGGUAAAUUCCAUCUAAAGCUAAAUAUUGGCGAGAGACCGAUAGCGAACAAGUACCGUGAGGGAAAGAUGAAAAGAACUUUGGAAAGAGAGUUAAACAGUACGUGAAAUUGCUGAAAGGGAAACGCUUGAAGUCAGUCGCGUCGUUCAGAACUCAACCUUACUUUUGUGGGGUGUAUUUUCUGUUUGACGGGUCAGUAUCAAUUUUGACCGUUGGAUAAAGUCCUUUGGAAUGUGGCUUCUUCGGAAGUGUUAUAGCCUUUGGUCGCAUACAACGGUUGGGAUUGAGGUACUCAGCACGCUGCAAAGCCGGGUUUCGACCACGUUCGUGCUUAGGAUACUGGCAUAAUGGCUUUAAUCGACCCGUCUUGAAACACGGACCAAGGAGUCUAACAUGCCUGCGAGUGUUUGGGUGGAAAACCCGAGCGCGUAAUGAAAGUGAAAGUUGAGAUCCCUGUCGUGGGGAGCAUCGACGCCCGGACCAGACCUUUUGUGACGGAUCCGCGGUAGAGCAUGUAUGUUGGGACCCGAAAGAUGGUGAACUAUGCCUGAAUAGGGUGAAGCCAGAGGAAACUCUGGUGGAGGCUCGUAGCGAUUCUGACGUGCAAAUCGAUCGUCAAAUUUGGGUAUAGGGGCGAAAGACUAAUCGAACCAUCUAGUAGCUGGUCCUGCCGAAGUUUCCCUCAGGAUAGCAGAAACUCAUUUCAGAUUUAUGUGGUAAAGCGAAUGAUUAGAGGCCUUGGGGUUGAAACAACCUUAACCUAUUCUCAAACUUUAAAUAUGUAAGAACGAGCCGUCUCUUGAUUGGACCGCUCGGCGAUUGAGA
Molecule: ribosomal RNA, 1077 nt
Filed under: Tubaria hiemalis
Lineage: Eukaryota; Fungi; Basidiomycota; Agaricomycetes; Agaricales; Tubariaceae
Description: eukaryotic LSU rRNA
Rfam family: Eukaryotic large subunit ribosomal RNA
Source: RNAcentral